This is a non-coding RNA of Pimephales promelas (fathead minnow), 269 nucleotides long. The record is from RefSeq and is a predicted model, not a curated record. NCBI's taxonomy places the organism in Eukaryota, Metazoa, Chordata, Actinopteri, Cypriniformes, Leuciscidae.
AUGUCAAGUGGGUUCGAAAUCAUUAUUUUAAAGCACUAAAUGGUUUAGCUCCUCAGGACUUGAGCGAUAUUUAUUUUUAAAGAGGCGUUUACAACACAAAAAAACAUUGAAUAUCUAUUUAUCUGUUUAUUUCUUCAUUUUUAAUUUCUGCAGGUUGCGUCCCCCACACAGAGGAAGCCGUCAGCUCUCUUACCAAUGAGGGAAUGGGAAGAGCAGCACCAAAGAAAUAUGCAUCAACAAAAGCUGAUAAAGGCCAAAGCUGUUGUUGA